This 511-nucleotide ribosomal RNA is filed under the name uncultured bacterium. RNAcentral describes it as "bacterial SSU rRNA". It matches the Rfam family "Bacterial small subunit ribosomal RNA", at positions 19 to 518 of the family's 1533-position model. The record is from RNAcentral.
CUGGCUCAGGAUGAACGCUAGCUACAGGCUUAACACAUGCAAGUCGAGGGGCAUCAUGAUCUUAGCUUGCUAAGAUGAUGGCGACCGGCGCACGGGUGAGUAACGCGUAUCCAACCUUCCCUGUACUAGGGGAUAGCCCGGCGAAAGUCGGAUUAAUACCCUAUGUUUUCCGAAGCGAGCAUUUAAUUUGGAACAAAGGUUUACCGGUAUAGGAUGGGGGAUGCGUCUGAUUAGAUAGUAGGCGGGGUAACGGCCCACCUAGUCGACGAUCAGUAGGGGUUCUGAGAGGAAGGUCCCCCACAUUGGAACUGAGACACGGUCCAAACUCCUACGGGAGGCAGCAGUGAGGAAUAUUGGUCAAUGGGCGAGAGCCUGAACCAGCCAAGUAGCGUUGCAGGAUGACGGCCCUAUGGGUUGUAAACUGCUUUUAUAUAGGGAUAAAGUGAGGGACGUGUCCCUUAUUGUAGGUACUAUAUGAAUAAGGACCGGCUAAUUCCGUGCCAGCCGCCGC